CGGCCGGGGGACACGGAAUUGCAUGCAAGCGCGGAGAUAGAUCGACCCAACAACAGCUGAAUUGAUCAGCCGCUGCCGCCGAGCACGGCCUUGAGCUUCUUCACCUGCGCGUCGUCCAAGAAUGUCACCUUCUCCACGACGGCCGACGGCAGGUUGUUGGCGAAGAGCGCGUAGUCGGUGAUCUGCAGGCCCGGGUUAGGCCCGCUGAAGGCGACGAAUGCCACGGCGGUCGAGGCGCCCCCGUUGUACUGGUAGUGGAGCAGGCCCUGGGGGAACACCAUGGCGUCGCCCUUGUAGAGCGUCUUGGUGUAGACGGUGUUGGAGGAGGACGUGAUGAAGCCAGCCAGAAUGGUGCCCUCGACGACGAAGAGCAGCUCGGAGGCGGCCGGGUGGGUGUGCAGCGGCACGACGCCGCCCACGGCGAUGUCGAGCCGGGCCCCGGAGAUGCCCAGCCCGUUCACGCCCGGGAACUGGCCCACGAAGGCCGGGGUCACGGCCGCCUUGAUGAGGUUCGUGGUGUUGCCGGCAGCGGCGAGGCCGUGGUAGUAGAAGUCGCCCGAGCUGACGCUGCCGGCCGCCUUGCACGGGUAGCCUGCCGGGGUGUCGCUGCAGGACAGGUCCGCCACGCAGAAGUCCUGGGUCAGGGCCAGGGCGGAGAAGGGCAGGAUGAGGAAGGAGAGGAGCACCGGGAGCAACAUUGUUCUGGCCAUGGCUACUUGCUUAAUUGGACUGCUGGCUGCUGUGUGCUUCAAGGAUUGCUGCUGCUCGAGGGUAGGUGUGCAGUGCCGUUGGGGUGUUUAUAUAGGAGGAGAGAGCCGAGGGGCGCAGGACGUAGUACGUAGGUAGAGUAGAGAACAAUGUAACGUGAGAGAAUUUUGGCGAGGCGUGCGCCUGUGUUCACGUGCAUCGGUGCAUUGCACACUACUGUCAGGAUUUUCGGCGGAGGUACGAUCUCGAGGAGCCAGUGGACAAGCGUUUAGCUGGGCAUGGUCCAGGAGGUACGAUCUCGAGGAGCCAGUGGACAAGCGUUUACGUCUUUGAUGGAGGAAAGCUCUCGAAUUGCUGCAUUAUUAGGGAAGGGCACCAAGGACACGAUCGAUGAGCUUAUUUUACCACGACAUGCAUGGAUUAAUGGAUAGGCCGAACUCACUGUGUCUUUGUAUCGAACAUGCAGAUGUGCAGGCACUAGAUCUUCACAACAACGGUAACAUUUGGUGGUGUAGCUGUCUAGCUGAUGCAUGCCAGGUUGCAAAUGCACACGGGCAACCAAGCUAUAAUUUGUGUUUUCCUAUGGCGCCAAUGCCUGGUCCCAUGUAAGUCGGUGUCUUUUGCUGCUCAUCUUUCACAUACAUGCAAGUUCUGGAGGCAAACACUGCACCAGUCUUUGUUGCUUUGCAAAUGCAAAAGCAAAAUAUCAGUAGCGCACUAAUUAACGGAAAAGCCUACGUUGCUUAGGCAUAGCCUUUUGCCGGAGGCUUUCUAUCGGGCUUACGGCCAAAAGUCCAAUAGACCGUGGUCGCCGGAAAAGCCUUCGGCAAAGACAGAACCUACGUCAAAGGUUGCGCCAGGCCCACGGCAAAGAACAGCCUAGAGUGUGGAAGGCCCACGGCAAAACGAAGCCUACGGUAAAGAUUAAGAGAAGCCCACGGCAAAGCGUUCCUGCACAUGGGCUCGCCGCACGGACUGACGGCGCGCGAACGGCAAAGAAGGGUCCUCCAGUAGCGGCAUUUUGGGUAGCCACGCAUGUGGAAAUUUAACCGCGCGCUGCGACUUUCUUAAUGGUGGAAAAAUAUAUUCUGCUUCGUUCAAAAGGGUAAAUCUAGAGUCUCACUCUCUCAGGUACAAUAAGAAGUACAGUACGACGAAAUGGAUCCAUCAUGCAUGGUUGAUCCGUAGCGCAGUUGAUUCAACCCAGAGUCUAACUGUCACAAGGUACAAUACGAGUACCUCGAAAUGGCUCGUCAAGGUGGAUCCGUGGAGCAUGUACUUCAUUCAGGAAAAAAAAACUGACUCAGGAAAAGGAAUCUGGGACAGCCCAGGCUCAUCUCUUCCCAACUGAGCCCCCUUCUCGAAUUGUUCCAUGUCAUUUCUCGCACCAAUAUCAAAUCAACUAAGUUCUGUCCACCUCAUCGGGGUUUCGAUCUUGUAUCUUUAAAAAUUUCAUUUUGUUUUCAUCAAGAUUUCGUAAAAUAUAAUUUCCUUUAGUGUUUAGUUUUAUUUCAUUCAGGUUUUAAAAAAAGUCACAGUUUCGUUCUUCUUUUAUUGAAGUUUUGUUCGGAUUUCAUUAAAAUAUCACUGACAUGGAGCAAUUUGAAAAGGGGCCUCACGAGGUAAAUCAGUAGGUAGUUGACUCUACAUUAGUUCUAUUAAGUCGACUUUAAUUUAGUCUUAUUAAAUCCAUUAUGAUAUAUAUUUUCAUAGCAUACUUAUUUGAUAUUCUAGAUGCUGAUACAUUUUUAUAUGAACUUUGAUCAAACGAACUUUGAGUUAUGACAAAGUUAUGACUUCUUAUAUUUAGAAACGUAUAUGUGCAUCGAUUCGAUGCAGAGGCCGCGGAAAUCAUCCCCUUCUCGAAAAAAAAACAAAUUACAAUGACACCUACUAAGGAAUUAUUGACAGUUUCAAAUGAAAUUCAACAUGAACAAAACACAUCUUGACAAGAAAAAGAAAAAGAUCACGGACGUAUGUACGUCGUCCACACGAAAGGCGCGCAAGCAAAUUAAUCUGACACACGACCGGUGACACGGAUUGUAUGCGAGCGGAGAUAGAUCGACCCAACAGCAGCAGAAUUAGCCGCUGCCGCCGAGCACGGCCUUGAGCUUCUUGACCUGCGCGUCGUCCAAGAAGGUGACCGUCUCCACGACGGCCGACGGCAGGUUGUUGGCGAAGAGCGCGUAGUCGGUGAUCUGCAGACCCGGGUUAGGCCCGCUGAAGGCGACGAGGGCCACGGCCGCUGAGGCGCCCCCGUUGUACUGGUAGUGGAGCAGGCCCUGGGGGAACACCAUGAUGUCGCCCUUGUAGAGCGUCUUGGUGUAGACGGUGUUGGAGGAGGACGUGAUGAAGCCCGCCAGCACGGUGCCUUCCACGACGAAGAGCAGCUCGGAGGCGGCCGGGUGGGUGUGCAGCGGCACGACGCCGCCCACGGCGAUGUCGAGCCGGGCCCCGGAGAUGCCCAGCCCGUUCACGCCCGGGAACUGGCCCACGAAAGCCGGAGUCACGGCCGCCUUGAUUAAGUUCGUUGUGUUGCCGGCCGCGGCGAGGCCGUGGUAGUAGAAGUCGCCUGAGCUGACGCUGCCGGCCGCCUUGCAAGGGUAGCCUGCCGGGGUGUCGCUGCAGGACAGGUCCGCCACGCAGAAGUCCUGGGUCAGGGCCAGGGCUGAGAAGGGCAGGAUGAGGAAGGAGAGGAGCACCGGGAGCAACAUUGUCCUGGCCAUGGCGACAGUUGCUUGGGCUGCAGGCAGUUGGGUGCUUAAAAGGUGCUUGCUGCUGCUCGAGGGUAGGUGUGCAGUGCCAUUGGGGUGUUUAUAUAGGAGGAGAGGGCCGAGGGGUGCAGGACGUACGUAGCUAGAGUAGAGAACAAUGUGAGUGAAUUUUGGCGGACUAAAAUGCAUCAGAAGUCCUAAUUUUUUCGCAAUGGUGCCAAGUUAAUCCAAAAAAUUUCAACAUGAAUGUUUGGGUCCUAAUAGUAUUUUAAAUGGUUCGUCAUAGGUCCCCUCUAGUGUAUGUGCCCCUUUAACAGUAUGACAUGGCCAUUGGGUUAGUGCCACCAAGGAUUGGGCCCACACGUCAGGUAAGGACAUGGAUUGAAAUCUUAUAGAAGAGUUCUUCUACGGUAUCCUAAAAAUAAUUUAGACCGUCCAUUUUUUAGAUCUAAGGGCUCAGAUUUGUUACUACUCCCUAAUACUCCAAUUGUGAAGUGUGGAGUAGUAAGAUGGAGUAAUUAGAGUUAAGGGCAAAGACGUAAUUUCGUCAAGGAAAAAAAUCCCCAAAACACACCCCGACCGACACCGGAGGCUCCCACUGCGCCGACGUCAUACCCGGGUAAGGGAGUGGAGGGCGGAGGCUGCGGCGCAUGCUGGGCGAGGACUGGUCGAGGACGGCGGCGGCAUCUGUCAGGAGGAGAGGCGGCCGUAGGCUGGGAAGGCAUCGCGCGCGGCGUCGAAGGCGCGGGCUGCAGAACGAGGAGCCGUGAAGGCGACGGCGGCGGCCGCGCGCGGGGAAGGCGGCGGCUCGCCGGGCAAGGAUGGCGGCAGCCGCGCGCGGCAAGGACGGCAGCGGCCACGCGCAUCGGGACUACGAGAGAGACGAAGGAAAUAAUUCUAAAUUUAUUUUUAUCCAUGCGAAAAUGUGAAAAGACAAAAAUGCCCAUGUGUAAUAUUCUGUUUAAUCCUGCUGGAGUAACAGGUACAGGAGAAUUUGCCUUAUAGAACCCUCCCCCCCCCCCCCCCCCCAAGCUAAGGCUCUUCCAUUUCGCAGCCUCUCUCAUCGUUCUUCUCUUCUUUCCCCGCACUGUGCCGCCCGCCCGGAGAGUGGUCUCCCCAUGGGAGCUUUGCGCUGCCGCGCCACCGGCCCGCGCUGCAGGCCCGCCCCGUCCUGCACAGCGUCGCCACCGUUUUUAACUCGAUGAGCUGCUGCUCUGGCCAGCGACACCGCCCCCUCUGCCUGGACGAACCUCUGCUUUGGCCCAUGCGCUUUGUCGGUCUGCCUUGACCUCGGCGAGAGCUGCUGCUCCGUCCCGCUGUGUAGCCCAUCCAGCCACCGCCUAAACCCUCGCCUCCUCGUCUGGAGAGGAGAGAAUUAAGGGGAGAGAACAACCGGGGACCACAAAAUGGAAGAACCUUAGCCACGAAAGGUAUUCUGUAAGAUUUUAGUCCACAUCCUUACCUGAUAUGACCAUUCCUAGGUGGCAUUAGUCAAAUGGCAACGUCAUACGGUUAGAGUGGCGCAUACACUAGAGGGAUCUACGGUGAACCACUUAAAAUACUAUUGUGACAUAAAAGUGCAUUUUGAAAGAUUUGAGACUAACUUGACACCUUUGCGAAAGAAUUUGACGAGCCAUGCGCCUGAGUUCACGUGCACCGGUACAUGUAACACAGCUGUCAGGAUUUUCGGCGGAGGUAUACGUCUCGUGGAGCCAGUGGACGAGCGUUUAGCUGGGCAUGGUCCACGAAAUGGCCGGGACGACGUACUUACGUCUUUGAUGGAGGAAAGCUCUCGAAUUGCUGCAUUAUUAGGGAAGGCACCCAGGACACGAUGAGCCCUUUUUACGACGACGCGUGCAUGGAUAGGCCGAUCGACCUCAUUGUGUAUCUUUAUAUCCAUCGAAGAUGCAGAUGCAGCCACUAGAUCUUCACAACGGUAACAUUUGGUGGUAGCUGUCUAGCUGAUGCAUGCCAGGUUGCAAAUGCACACGGGCAACCAAGCUAAUUUUGUGUUUUCCUAUGGCGCCAAUGCAUGGUCCAUGUAACUCGAUGUCUUUUGUUGCUCAUCUUUCACAUGACAUGCAAGUUUCUGGAGAUAAACACUGCACCAGUCUUUGUUGCUUUGCAAGUGCACCAAAAGCAAAAUAUCAGUAGCGUUUUGGGUAGCCACGCAUGUGAAAAUUUAACCGCUGCCGAUCGAAGAUCUAGCUACGUCGUACAUGCUUCUAGACUUUGUUAAUAGUGGGAAAAUAUAUUUUUCUUCGUUCAAGAAGGGUAAAUAUAGAGUCUCACUCGCGCGGGUACAAUACGAAGUACCACGAAAUGGCUUCAUCGUGGAUGGUUGAUCCGUGCAGAGUGAAUUCAACCUAGCGAGUCUAACUCUCACAGGUACAAUACGAGUACCACGAAAUGGCUCAUCAAGGGAUCGUGGAGCAGUUCAUUCAGGAAAAAAAAAGUUAUUUCAGGAAAACGAAUCUGGGACAGGCCAGAUCUCCUCCCAUCUUUGGACUGAUUUUGACUCCACGUGACAUGUUUUUUUCCUAAGAAUUUUCUCACGAUGCAUAAUAAGCAUCGAAUGUAUACAAUUUCGAGUUCAAUGACCAUUUUUGGGAGGAACCUGACGCCACAUCGAGGCAUCCGACUUGGAAAAUUUGAGAGGAAACCGCACUAGGUGGAGUCAAAACAGCUCAAAUCCGCAAGAGGGACCAAAAGUAUCCAGUUUUGUCAAUUGUGGGACCAAAUGUAUACGAUUUCAAGUUGAUGGACCAUUUUUAGAUUUUGCUGCCAAUUGAGUGACCAAGAAUAUAUUUUUCUUUAUAUACUACGGGUAGUCCUUUGUUAUAUCUCCAUGCUACAGAAUUAAAUACCCUCAUUGUUUUUUUGAGAAAAAAUAUCCUCACUUUGCACCUGAUGGGUGCAUAUGUUUCCAAAACAAAGGGCGUCUAUCCUGGUGAGCUGGUGCUGGCUGUUCAAUAUCUUUCCUCUAAUCCACAAAGAUCUUCGACUGAAUGGAACGGCUGGGGCUCAAAACAACUUUCGGCUCUUACAACUGGAAAUAGUGUGUGUACUUUCAUAAAAUGGGUGGCAAGUAGCAUUAGAGUUCUUGCAAAUGGAAAUACUAGCUAGUAUGUAUUUUCAUGAACACCAUUAAUUCCACAUUUCAACUGAUCGUACGAUUAUCAGCAAGAUACGCAUCUCAUUAGCCGUGGAGCUAGUAGAUCAAGUUCUCUGUCUAAUUUAUGAUUUCAACUCACGGACUAGGAAAUUUGUAGCAGCGCGCUCGCACACACACUGUAAGGGCGUUCAUCUGGACAAAAGCUAGAGAUACCAAUGACCGUUCACCUUCUUGUUGUGCUGAGCUGCAACACUUACCAGUUAUGAAAAUUUAUACGAAAUCUAGUAGACAAAAUAUGAUACGCCUUAAAGAACUGCUUCACCAAACUGCCGUAUCCAUAAGUAACAAUGCCAAACGGAGCUCAUAGUGUUCGGUUUUGUAAUGUGGAACAUUAGUUCGCACUAACUUGGUUUUCCAUUGAUGAUGUUUUGUCAGGAUCGAUCAGGUCUGCACAACUCGAGCUGGAUCGAUCUAUCUACCUAUCUGCUCGUGCAGAGAAUGCUUGGCCGGUAUCUGGUACCUAAUCUUAGUUGGCUGUCCAAGACAGCAGCACCUACUUUUUUCGAGAAAGACAGCAGUACUGCAGCAAAUUGACGCUUUGUUUUGCGAAGCCAAAACAUCAAAAGGGAAGAUAUUAUGUCCUGCAAAUACUUCGUGACAAAAUGAAAAGAAAGUUUAGAGGGGGAAAUGUGUGUGCAUCCUAUAAACCUGCUUGCUCGGUUGUUACGAGCACUAGGCCAGUUAGUGAGAGUAAAUCCUUGUUAGUUGCUGAUCAGGUAUAUAUCGACGUGGCAGCAAAGCAAAUUAAUCUUUGUUUUCCAAAGGAUCAGACAAGCUAGUGAAGCCGCCCAUAAUCGUCCAACCACUUCUCAUUCUAUAAGACCCCUCGGUCAGGCGAAAACACAAAGACGGCUGGGAUUGACGCGUACCCUUCGCCCGCCGUGGCAAUUUUGUAAAUAUCGCCGCGUAGAACCCAGCGUAUGGCUCUAGAAAGCCCAUACAGGCCGCAAGGGGUUGUACGGGGCUGUAUUAGUUCGCGUCGACGUGUAUACAUACUCGGCGUACUCGGACGGCGUAAGCCCGUUAUGGAAUAAUACCCGCGUUGUCGGCAUAGACUUGCCCUACAAUUCCCUCUAAUCCAGAGAAAGAAAUAAUGUCCCGAACACACCCGUUAUGGAAUAAAACCCGCGUUGUCCGCAUCGACUUGCCCCACGACUCCCUCUAAUCUAGCGAAGAAGAAAAAAAAACGCCCCGGACGCACAACCACCUCCGGCGAUGAAGCGAACGCACGGAGCAGACGACGCCGUGGCUGUUGUCAAGGAAGCUGCCGUCGUGACAGAUCCAGUGGAGGAGGAGGAGGAGGCCGUGAUCGUGGCAGAUGCAGCGGAGGAGAAGGAAGGCGUGACCGCGUUGGGUAAAGCGCCGACAGGUUCGGUGACGUCUUCGCCGUCUGAGAUCGCCGCGGGGUCCAAUACCCGCCAACAGGAGGAGGACGUUGUUAGCGUCGUCGACCCCAUUAAUCUGCUGCACGACUGGGACUUCUCCGACGACUCGGCCGACUACACGGAGUUUGAUGAAGUCCUCAGUGACUUGGAACCAGAGGUAAGAUCAAACUAGUUAGUCCAUGUGCUCGAUGCAAUGUUAUUCUAGGCUUUGUCGAUGCAAUCUAGUUUGUCACCGGUAUGCUAAGUCUAUGCGAGUUAGGGUUAGUCGGAUACACUAUUGAUGUUAAGUUUCAUGUUAAGUUGAGUUUACUAUGCAUGGUCUGCGCCAAUUUGUAGGUGAUGUAAAUUAUGGCUGAAUUUAUGUCAGAAUCAUUAUCUUCGUCGUACAAACGGUGAUUUGGAUAUUCUUGAUGAUCCGUCGUGAAUUACAUAUUCUUGUGUAACGCCGAUCUUCGGUAGUAACAUAUGCUUGUUGAUGUUAUGCAGGAAAAGGAUUCGGAUGUCGGCAGUGAGGAGGAAUCGAUUCAAGCGAAAAGCCGUCACGUCCUCAAUGCACUGGAGUAUGGUGCGUACGAAUACUGUUACGGUGAGAAAUGGGUGUGCCCGUUUUGUCACAAGAGGAGCCUCGCAAACGACUUCAAAAGCAUGGUGAAGCAUGCCGAAGACACUGGGCGUGUGUCUAAGAAGGCGCCUCACAUUGUGGCAAAACACAAGGCGUUCGGCGUGUUCUUAAGAAAGCUCGAAGCUCAGGAGGUGGAUGCGGACGCCGAGCCUUCCAAGAAGAAGGUGAGGAGGGAGAGGAAGAAGGGGAGGAAGUGAGAAUCGAACCAUAAAAUUUUCGUCGUAUUUUAUUUGCUAUUACUGAAUUAUGGUGGUUUGAAACAGUUUAGUAGUUUGAUUGAAAAACAUAAGUAUCGUUAAGUUGGUUGCAUGAACUAUUUAUGAUGUACACGUGUUGUCGCACGGGGCUCCGACACCGGGGAAGCGCGGGCACCCCCUUUUUAGGUUCGGCAGUGGGCUACGGGGAUCGCUCCGGCGAUCGCCGGCGGGACCAAUGCAAAGCGUAAGAAUGCACCAAGAACACAGGCACAAACUUUUUACCCAGGUUCGGGCCACCUUCGGUGUAAAAUCCUACGUCCUGCUUGUCGGAGAUUGUAUUACUGUGAAAUCGGCUGUUUACAGGUUUGCCGGGGGAAGCCCCCAGAUGGUCUCUUUUGGCUAAGUGUUUUUUCCUACUUCGGGCUACUGCCAGUGUUGUACUAUGAGUUGGCUCAACAAACGAACCAACGAGCGAAGCGAACCAAAAAACCAACAACCCGAACCCUUUGACCGUUGACAGGGGUCCUCCUUUUAUAGCCAAGAGGAUACCACAGGUGCCACGGUGCAUGGUUUACAAGUGGCGAGCAAGGAGCUUGGGCAGCUCCUCCUCCGUGCGCUGGCAUGCAUACACGAGCGCCAACCCCGCGGUUAGGGGUCUAAGGCCUAAAAAAUAGGACUAGACAGCCACUGUUCGUCCGACUAGACAGAUAAUGCCCCUCCUGUCGGCUCAUUAAAUGCGUCGUGCGCUUCACUCCUUGCCCUGGCAAAACUGCACACUGGGUGCCUGUCGCACGCCCACGUGGCGCCGCUGCUCUGCUCGCUCGGCCCCGCCCUCACGGCGGGAACCUGCGCCCGGGAACACCUCCUCCCGGCAAGUGCCUUCCCGGGAGGUGCCCAGGCAGGAUUAUUCCCCGAAGCCCCGCUAGCCUUUUCGGGCUGGUAGCUUGCCGGGCAGCCUACACGUUGCCGCCCGGGGUGAGAUCCUCCCGGGAACUCAGCGAUGCGACCCACGCGUCGUGCAGCGGUGGUACCCCGGGUGCCACUGGUGCGACAGUAGCCCCCGGGUGUCGUCGCACGGGGCUCCGACACCGGGGGUACGCGGACACCCCCUUUUUAGGUUCGGCAGUGGGCUACGGGGAUCACUCCAGCGAUCGCCGGCGGGGCCAAUGCGAAGCGCAGAAUGCACCAAGAACACUAACAAGGGCACAUGCACACACUUUUUACCCAGUUUCGGGCCACCUUGCGGUGUAAAACCCUACGUCCUGCUUGUCUGAGCUUGUAUUAUCAAGAAAUCAGCUGUUUAUAGGGUUGCCGGGGGAAGCCUCCGAGCGGUCUCUUUCUGGCUAAGUGUUCCUUUCUACUUUAGGCUACUGCCAGUGUUAUACUUCGAGUUGGCUCUGGAAACGAACCAACGAACGAGCUAAACCCUUGUGAAAAAAGCCAACCGAACUGAACCUGAACCCUUUGACAAUUGGCGGGGGUCCUUCUUUUAUAGCCAAGGGGAUGCCAUAAGUGCCACGGUGCAUGGUUUACAAGUGGCGAGCAAGGAGCUCAGGCAGCUCCUCCUCGGUGCGCUGGCAUGCAUGCAUGAGCACCAACCCCGCGGCUAGGGCUUUAGGGCCUAAGAAAUAGAAUUGGACAGCCAUUGUUCGUCCGACUAGACGGAUAACGCUCCUCUGUCGGCUCAUUAAAUGCACCGUGCACCUCACUCCUUGCCCUAGCGAAACUGCGCACUGGGCGCCUGGCACGUGCCCACGCGGCGUCGCUGCUCUGCUCGCUCGGCCCCUCCCUCACGGCGGGAACCUGCGCCCGAGAACCCCUCCUCCCGGCAACUGACUUGCCGGGAGGUGCCCAGGCGGGAAUAUUCCCCGAAGCCCCGCUAGCCCUUCCGGGCUGGUAGCUUGCCGGGGAACCUGCAAAUCGCCGCCCGGGGUGAGACCCUCCCGGGAACUCAGCGAUGCGGCCCCACGCGUCGUGCAACGGUGGUACCCCGGGUGCUACUGGUGCGACAGUAGCCCCCGGGCAUGGGCCGGCAACACCCGUUCCAGGGCGAAUCCUUCCCUGGUCGGUUGCCGAGCUACGCCCCAACCGACGCGUGGGCCCCGACUCGCCUCGGGCCCGCGUCUCUUCGCCAUCCCAAGUACCCCGCCGUUACGGACGGAGUAGUGGGUGCGUGAUUUCCGCGGUAACUUCCCCCUUAAACGGGGAAGUCAAGGCCACUCUUCGCAUCAUCCCCUUGAUUAGCAAUUAUCCCAGCGCACCCGUAGGGUGCGGAACCGACCGUUACCGAACAGCCGGGUGCUAUAAAGUUUUUAUUGCUGCUCCAAGGGGUAAACACUUUGCUCCCCAGCCUUCGUCUUCCAUCUUCUUCGCCUCUUACGCCCAAAAGCUCUGCUAGCCUCUGCCCCCGCUCCCCAUGGCGCCCCCACCACCAGGAAGGGAAAGGAGGGGAAAGCCCCAAAGAAAGCGGCGGCCAGCAAAAGCGAGGCGGCCGCCAAGGCUGCCGCCGACAAGGACCAAAAGAAGUGGGCGAUGCGGGCCUCGCUCGCCUUCUACCGGCCCGACCAAGAUCCGGCACGCCGUUGCCUCCAAGUUCAACUAGCACGGGGAGACCCUGAUCCUCCCAGCGGGCGCCGACCACCAGGAAAACGACUUCCGGGUGUUCGGGCGCUUCCUCCUCACCGGGAUGGUGCCGCCAUUCUCGCUGUUCCUCCACGCACUGAUGGAGUCGUACCAGCUGCAGGUGGCGCAGCUCCACCCCACAUCGCUCUUCCUCCUCGCCACUUUUCAAUUCCUCUGCGAAGCGUUCGUCGGGGUGAUGCCGUCGGUGGCACUAUUCCGGCAUUACUUCUACCCCCGAAUCAACAACGCGAACGCGAUGUCGUCAGGGGUGGUGUUCCGAGCCCGCGACCGAAGGAAGUCCGAGUUCAUCGUCCGGUCGGAGAAGAAGAUCGAGAAGGAGUGGCGGGGUGAUUGGUGCUGGGUCCGGGUAGAAAACCCCGUGGAGUUCAUCCUCUCGCCCACCGAACUGCCGCAACCGCACACCGGCUGGUAGGAUCGAUACCACCGCGACGCCGAUCUCCUCCCCAUCGUGGAGAAGAUCAAGGCUUUGCGGCUGGCAGGGCUCACCGAUGUUGACGUGGCCCGCACCUUCAUCACCCGGCGCGUCGCGCCGCUCCAGUUGCGUUCCCGGCCCGCGUGGAUGUACACGGGUGCCGGGGAGAGGACACGCCUCCAUCGCGAAGGUGUGGAUAUGGAAUCCCUCCAGGUGUGGGUGAAGGGGAUCUCCGGCGAGGACCUUUCCGCUACGGGGUUCCCGCCGGGGGUCACCUCCCUCCACGCCGGCGUUGCGGGGCUCAACGACAUCGUCGCCUCCUUCCCGCCCUGCAACGAGUGGGGAUUAAUGGACAAUACCUCCACUCGGACCUCGCGCGCUCCCCCGCCGGCGCCUUGCGGAAAGCAGGUGCUUGAGGAGAGCGGGGGCGAGUCAGAGAUCAGCUGGCCCUCCCUUCAGUCCCUGGACGACGAGGCGGGCCAGCCGGCCUCGUCCCAGGUAGUCGUCCCUGUGGAUGACGACGACGAGGAUAGUGACGACGCGCCCCUGAUCAUGCGAACAUCAAGGGCGCGCGCAGCGGCCGCGGCUGCCUCCACGGCGGCUGCGGCAGCAUCGGUAGCCACCCCAAGGGCGUCCGCCGGCACUUCGGCGGCAACCACACCCGCGGCGGUUACCUCAGUAGUAGCUGCCGUGGCCGUGGCGGCAGCCACACCGGGGGCAGCUCCCAACGUUGCGGCGGCUUCGUCGUCGGUUCCUGCGGCGACCCGGGCCGCCAGCAACCCGAGGCCGGUUACCUCAGCAGUAGCUGUCGUGGCCGCUGCGGCAGCCACACCGGGGGCAGCUCCCAACGUUGCGGCGGCUUCGUCGUCGGUUCCCGCGGCGGCCCGGGCCGCGGUAACCCCACGGGCAUCCACGGCUCCGCCCGCUCGGGGGGUCUUCCGGGGCUUCGCACUCCGGCGCAAUCCCCCGAGGGCCGAUUCACCGGCGAGUGCCGAAACGCCUUGCCGGCCAGCGCCCGGGAGGCCACAUGGUGAGAGCAUAUGCCUCAAUGUAUCUCCUCCAACAGUGCACGCCCUUCGUCUUGGUGCACGCAGAGGAGCUUGACUCCAUUCGCACGCCUGCGGUAGAGAUCUCGUCUACCACGAUGUACAUUUUGGCUUGACGGGCCACUCGUUUCGCGGAGACGUCGUCUUCCGAGAGGGCUUCUCCCUUCAAGUAACGGGCGAUUUCCACCGCCCAGGGAGGGGUCUCCCUGCCAAUGCAUGCCGCGCCGUUAGUGGCAUGGACCUCCGCUAUUGCGGGGCUUCCUUCGAUUGUCGGAGGGGCUUCCUCGGCAACCGGCUUGGGGACGACUGAAGGCGCCACCUGCUUGUGGCAGAACACCCCUGCCGGAGGCUUCUGGCGUUUUGCUGCCAUCUUGGACAGCUCGUCAGCCGCGAAGUUGUCCUUCCGGUUGAUGUGCUCGAAUCACAAACCCUUGAACUUGCGUUCUAGCUUGCGGACUUCCUCCACAUACGGUGCGAUCUGCGAGCAGUCGGAGUCCUUGUUAACCUGGUUGAUCACGAGUUGGGAAUCCCCGGGAACAACCAGGUGCUUGAUAUCAAGGGCGAUCGCCGCCCGCAACCCGGCGAGCAACCCUUCGUACUCAGCCGUGUUGUUGGUGGAGUUGGGGAAGUCGAGCUGGAUGGCGAACUUCAGCUGGUCUCCUGUGGAUGUUUCGAUGAGGACUCCAGCGCCCGCUCCCUGCAGGUUGAACGUGCCGUCGAAGUACAGGAUCCAGUGUCCUUCGUCUAGCUUGCCAGGCAGGCUAGUCUCCGGCUCUUCUUCUUCUACGCCCAUCGAAGUCCACUCCGCAACGAAAUCAGCCAGAGCCGCACUCUUGUUGCUCUUGGUGUUGGUGAAGUGCAGGUCGAACUCCGACAACUCCAUCCUCCAUUCGGCCACCCUUCCGGUGGCGUCACGGUUGGUGAGGGCCCGCUCGAGGCAGAAUCCUGACACCACCAUGACGCGGUGCGCCUGGAAGUAGUGGCGCAGAUUGCGUGAUGCAAGCAGGAUCCCCAGCAAGAGCUUCUGCACUUGCGGAUACCACAUGCGGGAGUCGCGCAGCACCGUGCUGACGAAGUACAUCGGGUGCAGCGCGAGCCGCCUGCGCGGUGUUGACGCUGCCGGCUCGACGGCAGGUCUCGGGUCCGGGGCGGUUGCCGGGGCUAGUUCAGCCCCCUGCCCCGCAGGCUCAGCCUCCGGGAGGUCUCCCUCUCUCUCGGCAACUAGCACCGAGCUGACCACUUGGUCGGCCGCCGCUAGGUAGAGUAGCAGCGGCUCGCCCGGCUUGGAGGUGACGAGGAUCGACGGCGACUUCAGGUACUGCUUGAGAUCCUGGAACGCCGCCUCAGCCUCGAGGUUCCAGUCGAUUGGGCCCUUCUUCUUCAUCACCUUGAAGAAAGGGAGGGCGCGCUCGCCCCGCCUUGAAAUGAAACGUUCCUGCGCGGCUACACAGCCGUUGAGGCGCUGCACGUCCUUCACCCUGCGGGGAGCCUCCAUUUUCUCGAUAACUUCUAUCUUCUUUGGGUUGGCUUGAAUUCCCCUGUGCGAAACCAAGAAGCCCAAAAGCUGCCCCGAGUCUACACCAAAGGUGCAUUUCUCAGGGUUUAACUUGAGCUUGAUCCUGCGGAGGUUAUCAAACGUUUCACGCGGGUCAUCAAUCAGCGAGUCCCCGCGCUUUGACUUGAUGAUGAUAUCAUCCAUGUAGACCUCAACGUUUCGGCCUAGCUGAGAUCCCAAACACUCGCGUAAAGCAUGCUAGAAUGUUGAGCCCACAUUCUUCAACCCGAAUGGCAUGCACGUGUAGCAGUAACAGCCAACCGGGGUGAUGAAUGCCGUUUUUUCUUCAUCUUCGACUGCCAUCUUAAUUUUAUGGUAGCCGGAAAAAGCAUCCAAAAAACACAGCAAAUCACAACCAGCAGUGGAAUCUACUAUUUGGUCAAUGCGAGGUACAAGGAAAGGAUCUUUAGGACACACACGGUUAAGAUCAGUAAAAUCUACACACAUGCAAAGUUUACACUCCCCCUUGGGUACUACUACAGGGUUAGCUAACCAAGUGGGGUACAGUACUUCCCUGAUAGCCCCCACAGCUUUAAGCUUGUCCACUUCUUGCUUGAUGAAAUCUUUGCGCUCCUGUGCUUGCCGGCGGAUCUUCUGUUUGGCAGGGCGGACGUCUCGACGCACCGCAACUCGAUGCUCGAUCACCUCCCUAGGGACCCCGGGGAGGUCCGACGGUUCCCAAGCGAACACGUCGGCGUUCUCCCGGAGGAAAGUGAUGAGGGCGCUUUCCUAUUUGGCGUUGAGGUUCGCACCGACAGUGACGGUACGCUCCUCGUUGCCGGCUUAGAGGGGCAGCUUCUUCACCUUGGCGGCCUCCUCCUUGAGCUUCUGGCCCUUGCCGGGGCACGAGCUCGAGCCUGCGCCUCCCCUGGCAAGCUCUUGCGGGGUAGCGCGGGCCUUCUUCGCUGCGGGGCGAUCGCCCGGCAACGAGCCUUCGCUUCCGGCGACGUCCUCGUCACCGAAAUCGGCUGCGGCGGCGGCCUUGACAACCUCGCCAACACACCAGGCUGCGUCUUUGAGAUCGCACCUGAUGUAGAGGUGUCGCACCAGUGGCACACUGGGUACCACCGCUGUGCGACGCGUGGGCCCCGUUCCCGGGUUCCCGGGAAGGUCUCAUCCCGGGGAGCGUCUAUGAGCUCCCCGGCAAGCUACCAGCCCGAAAGGGCUAGCGGGGCUUCGGGAAAUAUUCCCGCCUGGGCACCUCCCGGAAAGCUGCUUCCCGGGAGGGGGUUCCCGGGGGCGUUGGGCCCGGGUGCUUCCCGAGGUCGACUUGCUGGGACUGGCGCUUCCCGGGCGCGUGCCCCUGCCUCGGGCGUGGGGCCUAGUGGACAGCGCCACACGGGCGCGUGGCGGGCACGGGACGCGCGGUCCCACCAAGGCGAGGAGUAAGGCGCAUGGCUCAGUAAACGAGCCGACCGACGGGUAGUUACCUGUCCGAUCAAAGGAACAGUUGUUGUCUAAUCCUACCCUAGGGUCUUAGGCCCCUAGCAGCGGAGGUGGCACCCAUGCACGCCACCAGCUCACUAGGGGGAGUUGUAUGCCUCCCCGUUGGACACUUGUAGCCCAUGCACCGUGGCACCUGUGGCAUCCCCUUGAGUAUAAAAGGAGUACCCAUGCCAGCGGUCAGGGGGUUGGACAGUUGCUCGGUUCCGCAUUGUUUUCUGGCUCGGUUCAGCAAGUUCGCUCAGUUCGCUCGGUAGGAGCUUAUUUGGUUCCAGUAGACAGCAGCAGGGAGCAGUGAGGAGCACCCAGCCACUGAGAGCAAGCCCAGGAGCUUGCCCAGCAACUUGUAAACAUUUGAUCCGCAAUCAAUAUCAGCUCAGACAGGCAGGACGUAGGGUUUUACACCUCCGGGUGGCCUGAACCUGGGUAAAAAACAUGCGUGCAUCUGUUCUUGGACUAGCGCGUACCCCUAGCACUUCGUCUCGCCGGCCUUGUAGGGCCUCAUCAGCCGUGCCGGCGAUCACCGGGCCUCCGCCCCAGACGCCCCUACCGAUCCUAAAAGGGGGUCGUGGCCGCACGCCCCAGUGUCGGAGCACCGAGCGACGACAAGAGGACUCCGUACUUGGACGGCAUCUUCAUCACGUCGUAGGCGCAAUGAGUCGCCGCCAUGAACUUGAUCAGCGCCGGCCGACCUAGGAUCCCGUUGUAUGGCAACGGAGUGUGCGCCUCAUCGAACACAAGGUGCUCAGUCCCGAACGCUCCUCGGGACCCGAAGGUAACCGGCAGCGUGAUACGCCCCAGAGGGUGCACGAUCCCGGGGUUCACUCCCCGGAACGGCUCGGUGGGCUUCACCUGCUCCAGCGGCAGCUGAAGUUUCUUCACCAACUUGGCGGACAGGAGGUUCAACCCCGCUCCGUUGUCCACCAGCACCUUGGUCACCGUCCCAUUGUUGAUGAUCGGUGAGACCACGAAGGGUAAAACCCCUGAACCCAGCUGCCGGGCUGGGUGAUCGUCGGCGCUGAAGGUAAUCGGCACGUGCGACCACUUCAGCGGCUGAUGUGCCUCCAUGUCCGGCAAUAGCGCACACACCUCCCGGGUGAGGUGCUUCACCGCGGCAUGGGAUGAGUGAGCGUAAGCUCCCCCCAUGGAUGCAGGCAACGCCGCGGGGCUCCUGGAAGCCAGGCUCGUCGCCCCCGCUGCAGUCGGACUCGCGAUGCUCCUCAGCGCGAACCUUGUCUCGUCCCCGAGGAGGGCGCUCCCUGCCGGCACGGGCCUGGCCGCGUCCCCCCGGGCUCCCUCUCUGCCGGCGCCCCCGCCGGCAGGCUUCAGCCCCGCUCUAGGGUCGUUCGGGCAAUUCCGGGAUAGAUGCCCGAUAUCGCCGCAGUUGAAGCAGGCGCCGGCCGCUCGGUGCUCUUCGUGGCGCUACUCACGCCUCUGGUUGAUACCCUGCAGGAUGCGGCAAUCCUGCGCGUCGUGGGUAGCGUUGGCAUGGAUGGGGCAGCGGGACGCAGCGCCAGGCUUGCCGCCAGACCCGCCGGCGGGCGAGGCCUUCUUCGCAGGCCUCGAGGCAGCCCUCGACUCUGUGGUGAGGACUUGCUUCCCGUUGCGAUUGCGGGAGCUCUUCUUCUGCGAGCCCUCAGCGGGGCUCGCGGCAGCGUUAGCUGCGAGUUCGGGCGCUAAGCGCCCUUCUGGUGCAGCCGUCCUCAGCGCCCAUGGGAGCAUCCUCCUGCUCCACUGGACGUUGGCGCUCUGCCUCACGCCGGCACCGGCACUCCAGGCGCGGGCAGAGGUCUUCCCGCUGGCGGGCGUUCAGGACGCCCCGCACGUCACCCCGCGUGACGGUAGGUGACAAAUCCGAGGACCCCUCAGGAUCCCCGCCACCUUGCCCUCCCUGCGGGGGAGGGUUUUCUCCCUGCCCCGAGGCGCGGGGCGCGUCUCCGCGUCUCAGGUUCUGCCCGCGGCUUGAUCCAGCUGGGGCACCCUCGCCUUGCGGCUGCUGGGCGGCGAGUGCCAGGAGCGCCUCCAGCUCCGCACUCCAUGCCUCGUGCACCGGCGUGCCUUGCGGUUGCUCGUAGCGCAGCAUGACCCGUGCGGUGAUGACAGCUUCUGCCGGGGUUUGGGCUGGAGGCAGCCAAUUCUUCGACCGGCUGCCCCUCGCCCUGUCCGCAGGCGCACCCGGGUGGGUAAGGUGCGACCCCGACGGCGUCGCUCGCGACGCGGUGUGCUCGUGGUGCAGCUGCCGCUGCGCGUCUUCGGCCCGCGAGAGGACUCGCUGCCGGCAUGUACGGCAUUGUGGCCGCUCGCGUCACUGGCUCCGGCGCAGGGACCGCCGGCCCCCACAGCGGUCAUCCGGCAACGGCCGAGGGGGUGGUGGCGGUGGCAGCUGCGACUGCGGCUGCGGCACCCAGGCAGGCUCAGGAACGCCCUGGUCCUGCGACAUGCGCUGCACGUGGUUCGACCGUGUGUGCGCCGCCGGGGCACCACGUGGGUUGAUCUGAGAGUCACCAGCCCGCUUGGGGGGCAUGGCGACUGGCUCUGUUGUCGGAGAAGACGAGGCCGUUGCUGCUGUAGACGACGGCGCCGGCAAUCUCCGGCGAGCUCUCCUCACACGCCCCCUACCUGGCAUGCUAGAUGUCGUAGCCUGGGGCGUAGACACCGGGGGUGAGCGGCACAGGGCGUCGGGGAUCGCUUCGGUGAUCGCCGGCGAAGCCAAUGUCAAGCGUGAGGAUGCACACAAUCAUUUUUACCCAGGUUCGGGCCACCCUGAGGUGUAAAGCCCUACAUCCUGCUUCUGUGUUCUUAUUAGCCAGUGAACAAGGGUUUACAGAUUGCCCGGGGAGUUCCCGGGUGUUCUCUCCUUUUCUGCUAGGAGCUACUUGCUAUUUCUGGCCAAAACUAGUAAAAUAAAACCGAACCCGAACCGAACCCCUUUGACCGUUGGCUAUGGUCAUCCUUUUAUACUCAAGGGGAUACCACAUGUGCCUCGGUGCAUGGGUGACAAGUGGCGAGCAAAGAACUAGGGCAGCUUGCCCUUGGUGUGCUGGCUUGCAUGCAUAAUGACUAGCCCUGCAACUAGGGUCCUACGUGCCUAAAAUUUACACCGGGCCAGUCACUGUAGGCUGACUGGACGGGGAAUCCCCUUUCUGUCGGUGCAUUUAAUGCUUGACUGUGCUUCACUCCUUGUCCUGACGAACCCUGCGCACGGGGAGCCCGCCGAGCGGCCACGUGGCGCCGCUGUCCUGCACACUCGGUCCCACUCCUGUAGCGGGCGCCUGCGCCCGGGAACGGCCUUCCCGGCAAGUAACCUUCCCGGGAAGCUCCCAGGCGGGAUUUCUCAUGCUGCCCUCCAGGGCAACCCCCGCAGCCCGGCUAGCCCUGACGUGCUGGUGACUUGCCGGGCAGCUCACGGCUGCUUCUCGGGGUGCGAUCCUCCCGGGGAGCAAGCGAGGUGGCCAACGCGUCAUGUAGCGGUGGUACCCCGGGUGCCACUGGUGCGACACGCGUGGAGGCACUGGCCCUGUCUCAGUUUCCUUCAUCAAGCCUCGAAGUAAUUUCCAUAUAUGUACAACUUACUCGCAAGACGACGACACCCGUGACCACCCCACGAGCAUCACAGUGUGCCUUCGCCUUAUCUCUAUCCUGCAUGUCAGAUUCCUGUAGUGCCCAAGGUAAAUAGCAAAAAAAAUUGAAAUGUACGAAAAACAUUUCCACGGUGCCUCGCUGGCACGUAACACGUUGCGGACGGGUCCGGCAUCUGCUAGGCCUUGUUCCGGAGCGUCCCGGCAACGAGCUUGGUUUUCGGGGUUCCGGCAGCCCGCUGCUCACAGCCAAGAAUGAGGAGACAAUUCUGUGCACCUAGAGCAGGAGACAGAAGCAUUCACAGAGAGCAAAGUACAAUAUUUACCAAUGUAACACUUAUCUUUAUUCAACUUUGUGCUAGCGGAUUACAAUCGGGCCUUGCCCGGCUACACUAGCUUAAAGAAGCAAGCUGCCGCAGCGUCACCCGUGGGUAAGGCGUCACCGUUUCACAGGUAGAACUUGCAUAGGUGCUCAAUGUUCCAACUAUUGGGUACCGGCAAGCCUUCUUCGGUUUCCAGCCGGACAGCCCCCGGUCUGGUCACCUACACUACCCGGAAAGGGCCUUCGCAGAUUGGAGUCAACUUGUUUCCGGCCUUCGUUCCUUGUAUCCGGCGCAGGACAAUGUCUCCAACCUCGAGCCCCUGGGGACGGACUCUUUUGUCGUGAUAAUGACGGAGCCCCUACUAGUAGCUUGCAGCUCGUACAGCAGCCCGGCAUCGAAUCUCUUCGAUGAAGGUAAGGUCAUCAAUCCUCUGCAUGUGUUGGCUCUUGUCGCCAUACGCGCGUACCCGAGGUGACCCAUACUUGAGCUCGAGGGGCAGCACAGCUUCUGCCUCGUAGACUAGGGUAAACGGAGUUUGACCUGUCGCCUGACUCGGUGUGGUCCGCAGUGAACACAACACGGGCUGGAGUUCUUCAACCCAGUGCUUCCCAUGGCCUUUGAGCUUGUCAAAGGUUCUCGUCUUGAGGCCCCGCAACACUUUUACGUUAGCUCACUCAACUUGCCCAUUGCUCCUCGGAUGAGCAACUGAGGCGAAGUGAAUCUUAGUGCCCAUGUCCUCGCAGUAAGCUUGGAACACCGCACUAGUGAAUUACGUGCCGUUAUCGGUGAUGAUGCCGUUAGGCACACCAUACCGGCACACAAUGCCCUUGAAGAACUUGAUGGCUACCUGCACCGUGACGGCUCGGCAGCUUGCCGACGAUGUCCAGCCCCCAGACCGCGAACGGCCACGAGGACGGGAUGACUUACAGGGCUUGCCCUGGUGGUUGCUCUUCUUGGCGUGAAACUGGCAUGCUUCACAGGUCUUGACUAAUUGCUCGGCAUUGGCUAGUGCUGUUGGCCAGUAGAAACCGUGUCGGAACGCUUUCCCCGCUAGUGCCCUGGAGGCCACAUGGUGUGAGCAUGUGCCUUGAUGUAUAUCUUCCAGCAACACGCGCCCUUCGUCCUGGGGCACGCAGAGGAGCAUGACUCCGUUAGGACGCCUCCGGUAGAGUUAUCCAUACCCGGGCAUCGCACAGCACGGUGCUAACGAAGUACCCGGGAUGUUGUACUAGCCGCUUGCGGGGGGGCAGCCUGCAUGGGCUGUCCCUCAGAUCCAGGGGCAAAGGAGGUAGCCGGGGGUUCUUUUGGCUCGCCGGAGCCCUCGGCCCUUCCGUCUCAGCCCCCGGGACUUGCUCUUCCCUCUCAGCGACGAGCAUGGAGCUCACCACCUGGUCCGUUGCUGCCAAGCACAACAGCAACGGCUUGGGGGCGACGAGGACCGGCGGCGACUUUAGGUACCACUUCAGGUCCUAGAACGCCGCUUCCGCCUUGGGAGUCCAAUUGAUUGGACCCUUCUUCUUCAUCACCUUGAAGAAAGGUAGGGCUCGCUCGCCCAGCCUUGAAAUGAAACGCCCGAGCGCCGCAACCCACCCGUUAAGGCGUUGGACAUCUCUAACCUUGCGGGGUGGCUCCAUCUUCUCGAUCGCUUCGAUCUUCUGUGGAUUGGCUUCGAUUCCCCUGUGAGAGACCAAGAAGCCCAGCAAGUGCCGCGAGUCCACGCCGAACGUGCACUUCUCGGGGUUAAGCUUGAGCUUGAUCCUACGGAGGUUGUCAAAUGUCUCCUACAGGUCGUCGACGAGCGAGUCCCUAUGCCGCGACUUGACGACGAUUUCGUCCAUGUAGGCCUCGAUGUUCCGGCCUAGCUGGGAUCCCAGACACUCGCGCAGGGCGCGCUGAAAUGUCGAACCCGCGUUCUUCAACCCGAAAGGCAUGCACGUGUAACAGUAGCAGCCCACCAGGGUGAUAAACGUUGUUUUCUCCUCAACUUCGACUGCCAUCUCGAUCUGAUUGUAGCCGGAGAAGGCGUCUAGGAAGCACAAAGACUCGCAACCCGCUGUAUAAUCUACUAUUUGAUCGAUACGGGGUACAGAGAAUGGGUCCUUAGAACAUGCACGGUUAAGAUCAGUAAAAUCUACACACAUGCGCAAUUUAUUUCUGACUUUAGGAACUACAACAGGGUUUGCUAACCAAGUAGAGUACAACACUUCCCUGAUCGCCCCGGCGUUCUUGAGCUUCUACACUUCCUGCUGGAUCAAGUCCUUGCGAUCUUGUGCUUGCUGGCGAACCUUCUGCUUGACGGGCCGCGCGUCUGGCCUCACCGCCAGCCGAUGCUCGGUCACCUCCCUAGGGACUCCGGGAAGAUCUGACGGCUCCCAAGCGAACACGUCAGAGUUCUCCCGGAGGAAGGCGACGAGGGCGCUUUCUUAUUUGUCGCCAAGGCUCACACCGAUGGAAACAUUGCGUGCCUUGUUGCCGGCAUACAGGGGAACCUUCUUGACCUUGGUGCCCUCCUCCUUCAGCUUCGUGCCCUUGCUUACGCGCGGGCUGGAGCUGGAGCUGCCCCCGGCAUCCUGUCCGGGAGCGGCUCGUGCCUUCUUCUGUGCGGGUUGUUCACCCGCAAGUGGAUCCUCGCUCCUGGCAACGUCGUAGUCGCCGGGAUCCGCCACUACGGAGGUCUUCACGACCUCGCCCACGCACCAAGUAGCGUUCUUCAGGUCGCACUUGAUGGAGAGAACGCCGUAUGUUGACGGCAUCUUCAUCACGCCAUAGGCGCAAUGCGUUGCCGCCAUGAACUUGAUCAGCGUUGGCCGACCAAUGAUCCCGUUGUAUGGCAACAGGGUGUGAGCCACUUCAAAACUGAAGUGCUCAGUCCGGAACGCUUCCCAGGAACCGAAGGUCACCGGGAGCGUGAUUCGCCCCAUGGGCUGCACCACUCCAGGAUUGAUUCGCCGGAAUGGGUCGAUGGGCUUCAUCUGCUCAAGGGGGAGCUAAAGUUUUUCCACCAGCUUGGCGAAAAGCAGGUUGAUGCUUGCCCCGCUAUCCACCAUUACCUUGGUCACCGUCACAUUGUUUAUGAUCGGCGACACGAUGAGGGGGAGCACUCCUGAACCCAAGGGACGGAUAGGGUGAUCGUCCAAGUUGAAGGUGAUCGGCACAUGCGACCACCUCAACGGCUGCUGCGCCUCCAUGCUAGGGAGGAGGGCGUAGACCUCACGCGUGAGCCACUUCACGACGGCGUGAGACGUGAGAGCAUACGCUCCCUCGUGGAUGCAGGCGACGUCGUGAGGCUCUUGGAAACCGGGCUCGUCGGUGUCGGCGUCGUUGUAGACAUCCCCGUGCUGCUCAACGCGGGGCUUGUCGCGUCCCCGGGGAGGCCGGUCUUUGCCGCCGCGGGCCUGACCGUGACCCCCCCACGGGUUCUCCUUUGUCGCCGCCGGCUGGACCCCGGCCUGCUCCGCCGCGAGGGUUGUUCGGGUGCCCGAUGUCCCCGCAGUUGAAGCAAGCCCCGGCAGCGCGGUGCUCCUCGUGGCGCUGCUCGCGCUUCUCCUUGAUAGUCUAGAGAGUGUGGCAGUCCUGUGUGUCGUGGGUGGCGUUGGUGUGGAUGGGGCAGCGCGCGGCCGCUGCCGGCUUGCUGCCCGAUGCUCCUGCCGACGCCGCCUUCUUGGCGGGCCUCUAGGGAGCCCCCGGCUCCGCGGCAAGCACUUGCUUCCCGCCGCAUUUCCGGUAGCUCUUCUUCCCGGAGCCCUCUGGUGGGUUUGCCGCUGCUUUGGCGACAAGCUCGGGCGCCAAGCGUCUUUCCUCGGCCAUCGCGCCCUUGUGCGCAAGGGCAUAGAGAUCCCUGGUGGUCCGGAUCCGGUGCGUGUUGAGCUUCUCACGCAUCUUCGCGUCGCGGACGUUGAUGGCGUACGUGUUGAUGAUGGCGGCCGCUUCCGCCUCAGGGAUGGAGUAGGAUAGGUUGGAGAACCUGUUGAUGAAGUCCCGCAACGUCUCUCCCGGUUUCUGCACGACCGUGUGUAGUUCAGCCAUGGUUCCCGGGCGCUUGUAGCCGCCCUGGAACGCGUUCACGAACUGCUCGCGCAGGUCAGCCCGGGAGGCUAUGAACCCGACGGGCAGGUUUAGCAACCAAGUCCUCGCUGAUCUUUUGAGAACCAUCGGGAACCAGUUGGUCCUGACCUUGUCGUCGGCGCCAAUGGUGUGCAUGCCCAACGUGUAGGUCAGGAGAAAAUCCUUGGAGUUCAUGGUCCCGUCGUACGUCCCGAGCGUCGGCGCUCGGAACUUGCGGGGCCACGUCACCCGGCGCAGCUCACGAGUAAACGCGGUGCAGCCAUUCUCGGCACCCAUGGGAGCAUCCUCCUGCUCCUCUGGGCGCUGGCGUACUGCCUCACGCCGGUGCCGGCGCUCCAAGUGCUGGUGAAGGUCUUCCUGCUGCCGGUGUUCAGGACGCCUCGCGCGUUACCCCGUGUAACGGUCGGUGAUGAAUUCGAGGACCCCACGGGAUCAUCGCCUCCUUGCCCUCCCAGCGGGGGAGGGUGCUCUCCGUGCCCCGAGAAGCGGGGCGCGUCUCGGCGUCCCGAGUUCUGCCCCAGGCCUUAACCAGCCGGGGCGCCCUCGCCUUGCGGCUGCUGGGCAGCGAGUGCGAGGAGCGCGUCUAGCUUCGCCCUCCAUGCUUCAUAUGCCGUCAUGCCUUGCGGUGGCUCGUAGCGCACCAUGACAUGCGCGGGUAUGAUAGCUUCCACCGGGGUCUGGGCGGGAGGCUGCCGAUUCUCCAACCGGCUGCCCUCAGCCCUGUCACCCGGUGCCCUCGGGUGGGUGGGGCGAGACUCCGUCGGCGUCGCACGCAAUGCGUUGAGCUCAUGGUGCAGCUGCCGCUGCGCGUCUUCAGCCCGUGAGUGGGCUCACUGGCCGCCGCGUGCCGCUCGCGCGGCUGGCUCCGGUGCUGGGAGCCGCAGGCACCCUCGGCCAGUUGUUUGCCGACGGCCACCGUAGCAGCGACUGCUGCUGCUGCCAUGGAGGGGACCCCUGAUCCCCUUGUGCCUGUGACGCGCGCGCAGCGUGAUGGGACCGAGUGCGCAUGGAGAGGGUGUCGCGCAAGUCGGCCUGGGGCUCGUCUGCCUUCUUGGGCGGCAUGGCGAGCUAGUCAUUGAAGAUGUCGUAGGCGAAGAAGCCAGUGUUGUCGACGAGGAUGCCGGCGGUCACCUGAAGCUCUCUGCACGCCCCCUACCUGGCGCGCCAGAUGUUCGAGCGCGGUCUCCGGCACCGGGGAUGCCGAACACCCCCUUUUUGGUUCGGUGGAGGGCGAGGUGAUCGCUCCGACGAUCACCGGCGUGGCGAUAGACACAAAGUGUAGACACAACAGUUUUACCCAGGUUCGGGCCACCCGGAGGUGUAAUACCCUACGUCCUGCUUUGAGUUUGUAUUCGCAAGUUUUAGAGCGUACAGAUCACCCGGGGAGUCCCCAGGUUGGCUACUUAGGUGAACGCUAUGCUAUCUUCUACUCACUCGGGUUUGAACUCAGCUGAACCCUAUGACCGGUGGCAUUGGUCCUCCUUUUAUAGACAAGGGGAUACCACAGGUGCCUAUGCAUGCAGGGUGACACGUCCCCUAGACGCAUGUCACGGCCGCAUGGUAUACAAUUUUACUCAUCUGUGCUGGACGCCAUCCAGUGCCCAGUCCACUGUACACGGUAGAAAAAAUAGUUCGUAGGAUAGUCGCCCUAGCCUUGCUCAGCAAGACUAGCCCUGCCAAUAAGACUCCUGUCUGUGCAUUAAAUGCAAUGCGCCCGCCGUCUUGUCCUGUCUUCACUGUUCUGCGGGUCCCGCCUGCAUGCCCGAGCGCGGGUUGCUGGGGGGCACCUUCCCGGCUAGCGCACCUGCUAGUUGUCGGGAGGCGUUCCUUUGGCUUCCCGAGACCAGGGUUCCCGGGAGCAUCUUGUACUCGGCCCUUAGCUUUAGCUUCACUAGGGAUCAUCUCCUCGAGGCAGGCUUCCCGGGCUCGUCGCUUCCCGGGAGUCCUUCCUGAUGGGCUCCGUCACUGGCGACCCACGCGUCCCGUAUCAGUGGGACCCCGUGGGCCACUGGUACGACAGCUGGCGAGAAGAAGAAGUUACAAGAAGCUGUUGCGUUGACCCAGGCGGCACAGAUUGGCUUGCCGGCUAUGACCAAUCCCCAUGGAAGUGUGGCUUUUCAGGCAGCCAAGGAGAUGAAGAAGAUACAGGUCGACAGUGAGUUCCCGGACCGCACCGUCAUCAUUGGUGCCGGCCUGGGUGCGAAAUAGGAAGGAGAGCUCACCAGCUUCCUCCGUGAGCAUCGAGACAUCUUCGCAUGGUCAAAUCAGGACCUGCCGGGUGUGCCGAGGGAGCUGGCUGAGCACUCAUUACAUGUCAACCCAGACGCAAGACCGGUGAAGCAGCCCCUUCGACGCUUCGCUGACGACAGAAGGAAAAUCAUAUCGGAAGAGAUAUCCCGGCUUCUAGCUGCCGGCUUUAUCAUGGAAGUAUUGCAUCCCGACUGGCUGGCAAAUCAGGUCAUGGUCGAGAAGAAAAAAGACGACCGAACUGCUGCCAAGGUGUGGCGCAUGUGUAUCGACUACACCAGCCUGAACAAGGCAUGUCCCAAAGAUCCUUUUCCAUUACCUCGGAUCGAUCAAGUGAUCAACUCCACUGCCGGUGUGAGUUGCUGUCUUUUGUAGACGCGUACUCUGGUUUUCACCAGAUACCGCUGAACCCUAAUGAUCAAAUAAAGACAUCAUUUAUCACCCCGUUCGGGGCUUAUUGCUAUCGCACUAUGCCGUUUGGUUUGAGAAAUGCAGGAGCAACUUAUCAAAGAUGCAUGUAAAAAUGUUUGCACGAUCAACUCGGCAAAAAUGUGCAGGUAUAUGUCGAUGAUGUCAUCAUAAAAAACAAAGAAAGCGCCACGUUGCUGGAUGAUAUCCGGGAAACAUUCGCAAAUCUGAGGAGAUUCCGAAUGAAGCUAAACCGGGCCAAAUGCACAUUCGGUGUGACGGCAGGGAAGCUACUCGGAUUCCUGCUAUCGAGCCGAGGUAUAGAAACGAACCAUGUGAAAAUCGCCGCCAUCGAGAGAAUGAAACUGUCGAAAUGUUUCAAAGAUGUGCAGAAAUUCAUUGGAUGCCUAGCAUCGUUAAGUCGUUUUGUUAGUUGGCUAGGUGAAAAGGCAAUGCCCUUAUACCAGUUGAUGAAGAAAACCGACAAAUUUGUGUGGACACAACAGGUAGAAGUAGCUUUUCAAGAGUUGAAGAAGAUGAUUGCUAUGGCGCCGAUAUUGGCCUCGCCGAUGGAAAAAGAGCCGAUGUUGUUGUACAUAGCAGCAACAAACUGAGUCGUCGGCACCGUCAUAGUGGUGGAAAGAGAUGAAGACGGCAAAUCGGUGCAUAGGCUGGUAUAUUACCCAAGCGAGGUGUUAUCGUCAUCUAAGCAGAAUUAUCCCCAUUACCAGAAGAUGGCAUACGGCGUUUAUAUGGCGGCAAAGAAGCUGAAGCAUUAUUUUGAUGCGCAUCAGAUCCGGGUUAUAUGUGAGGCGCCCAUCUCGGAAAUCAUGAGCAAUAAAGACGCAAGCGGCCAGAUCGCAAAAUGGGCUAUUGAGUUAGCACCCUAGCUGCAGUACGACAGACGGGAUGCCGUAAAAUCUCAGGCUCUGGCGGAUUUCCUGGUAGAUUGGGCCGAGAUGGAAUAUGAGCAACCGCCACCUGAAACUAGCUACUGGAGGAUGCAUUUUGACGGCUCCAAAAUGAAAAGUGGGCUUGGUGCCGGCAUAAUCUUAACUUCGCCUAAGCGUGACCAACUUAAAUAUGUGCUGCAAAUUCAUUUUGCGGCAUCCAACAAUGUCGCCGAGUAUGAGGCACUCGUGCACGGACUAAAGAUGGCAAAAGAGAUUGGAGUUCGUCAAAUUCAAUGCUUUGGCAACUCGGACUUGGUAGUCCAGUAAGCUUCCGGCAAUUGGGAUGCAUUGGAUGCCUAUAUGGCGCUAUAACGCUUUCAUGUUCAGAACAUCAGUGGUCACUUCGAAGGGUGUGAAUUCCAUCGUAUACCGCGGGCGGAGAAUGAGGCAGCCGACACACUGUCGAAGCUCGGCUCAACGCGACAAGCUAUCCCGGCUGGUGUGGCUUUGGAGCAUUUACGCAAACCAUCCAUCAAGCCCUCACCAGAAUCGGAGUCACUCUUUAUCCCGGCAAGCUCAGAAGCUGAUGCCACCCCAAUGGACAUUGACAGUGGCAGCGGUUUUGGUAACCGAGGACUGAGCGCCCUAACUCAGCGGAAGCAAUGCGGUUGAGCCAAUGCAGAUAGACGAACCAGACGAGCCGGUUUUUGCCACUCGCCCCGUGCCGGCUUGGACACAACCGAUAAUGUCUUACCUCAAGGAUGGGAGUCUCCCGGAAGAGGAAGUGUCGGCAAGCCAAAUUCAGAGAAAAGCAAAGGCGUACACUAUCAUCAAUGGCGAACUAUACAAGAGAAGUGUUACUAACAUCUUGCAGCGAUGCGUCGAGCCGGCAGAAGGGCAAGAGAUACUCCGAGAUAUUCAUCAGGGAGAGAGCGGUCACCAUGCGUCUUCAAGAACAUUGGUGGGCAAAGCAUUCCGGCACGGUUUCUACUGGCCGAGUGCGCUACAGGAAGCAGAAGACAUGGUUCGGAAAUGCAACGGUUGCCAGAGAUAUGCCCGCAAGAUUCACAUGCUGGCAUCCGAGCUCAAUACUAUUCAAAUCACUUGGCCAUUUGCUGUUUGGUGUUUGGAUAUGGUGGGACCUUUCAAGCGGGCGCGAGGAGGUAUGACACAUAUCCUGGUCAUGAUUGAUAAGUUCACCAAAUGGAUUGAAGUAAAGCCGAUACGGAAGUGUGACGGCAAGACCGCAGUAUCAUUUCUGAAAGACAUCAUAUUGAGGUAUGGUUACCCGCACAGCGUCAUCACGGAUAACGGCACAAACUUCACGGAAGGACCUUUUGCGCGAAAAAGAAAAUCCGGCUAGACAUCGCCUUCGUGGCACAUCCUCAGUCCAACGGACAAGUUGAGAGAGCAAACGGCAUGGUUCUACCGGCAUAAAACCUCGGUUGUUUGAGCCACAGGAACGCACUCCAGGGUGCUGGUUAGAUGAACUCCCAGCUAUGCUAUGGAGUCUCAGGACAACUCCAAAUCGCUCUACAGGCUACACGCCAUUUUUCCUCGUAUACGGGGCGGAAGUUGUCUUACCAGCCGACAUUGAACAUGACUCUCUGUGAGUGACCAUGCAUACGGAAGCCGAAGUAAAAGAGGCCCGAGAAAAUGAUGUCGACCUGCUCGAAGAAGCACGGGAACAGGCUUUAGCUCGGUCGGCCAUCUAUCAACAACACCUAAGGCGUUAUCACAGCCGGAGGGUAAACCCGCGAGUAUUCUAGGAAGGAGACCUCGUGCUCCGACUUGUGCAGCGCACAGCCGUCAUGCAUAAACUGUCACCCCCAUGGGAAGGACCCUUCAUUAAUGUGAGCAAAGCACUACACAACGAUUCCUACUAUCUUAUAGAUGCGUAGGAUCCCAAAGCAAACAGGAUGGACAGGUCAGGCGAAGAGACCCAGAGGCCAUGGAAUGUAACUUUGCUUCGUCCUUUCUAUACUUGAAACAUGAGUAUUUGUAUCGUUUUUACCUUAUGUUGAAUGUUUUGAGACAAUGAAAUUAUCCGCCGGGUUCUUGAAAGGGACUCGGUGACUUCCAUGCUAUUUAAGUGUUGUAUUGCAAUUAUCUAUUUUUAUGUCGGCAUGGCUUAGUUGUGUCAUCUUAUGUCGGUUUAGUAGUGUGUCGGUAUUGAAAAUCCCCUUUAUGACUUAGCUGUUGUCCGCAACCCGGCUUCAUGGCAACCUAGAGUAUGGGUACGAGAUCACUGGACACAUGAAAAACGAUUGCGGAAAUAAACAAAGAAGCAAGCCGAGGUGCGUCUUGUUUUAUCUAACCCGGCAUUUCAUUCCCAUCUCGGGUAUUGCCAAGCAAAUUUGUCGGGUUUAAUUUUUUGAAAGGGUUGUUCUAUGACUUCGCGAUUCAUACGUCGAACGCCGACAAGGCAGACAAAGAGCCAGAGUCAUAAAAUUUCACCAACAGAAAAGAUAAACUCGAGGACUCGAUCGGGAACUCAAUAAUUAAAAGACUUAAACAAAUUAAAAGUAUGGUACUUCACAACCAAAAGUGUUUCAACUCGGUUACAUCUGCACCCGGCAUCCCAGGGAUCUGAUAAUUUUAAAGUAUUUUUUCUGACAUGCCUAAGAAGAAACAGAAGGAUUGUUGGCGCCGGAACUCGGAGCGUCCGUUGCAGUGGAAGCCGACUCGACGACGAUCUCUUCGUCGGCUUCUUCCUCGUCUUGCUCGGCCAUUUCUGCAUCUGCCUCUGAUACCGGACCCUCUACAAAUUUAUGCACAUCGGCAUAUUGAAUAAAGGAGUAGGCCCGCUCCUGCCGCUUCGCGAUAAGCUCCGGAUCCGAGAGGAAGGGGGAGCCGACUCGCAUCGACUGCCGCACGUCAAGGUUGAUGCCGUCGUACCAAGAAAGUACGAACGACAAAGCCUCGUCGGCGCCGACACGAGCGAACGACUCCCGCCACUCAUUCAGCCGGUCCUCCACCUCCAGAAGGCGUUUUUCCAAUUCCGGGAUGCCAGUCAGAGCUUCUUCUCCCGGCCACAGAGCUCGGAAGGCUCAGAUGCCGGCAUUGAGCAUGUUUACCCCGAAGGAUUUCAGAGGCUUAACCCGGCUAGCAAUGCUGACCAAGUAAUCCUCCAAGUUAUACUCCGAGGGUACUGCCCUGGCUAGAUCCCUCCGUUUACGAGCUUUGAUCACGGCAGCUUGAGCAGUCUCAAUAGAUUGUGGAAAAAAUUCUGAUAAAGACAAAUAGGAACUCAUGAGUCUCGGAACCCUAUUGCUCUUCUCGGCCAAAUGGUCAGAGGGAAAAGAUUUGGACAAGGGCAACUUACUAGUCAGCAUCACGUCGAUUCUGAUGAGAUCACGCCUGCACACGCUGAGCAGGCGGGCGUUCUCAGCCUUCUCCUCCUCGGCAGCAAUGGCGCGGGUCUCGACCUUGGCGACAAGAUCCUUGCAUUUCCGCACUUCGCCUUCCAGGCGGAUCUUCUCGUCGGCUUGGGCAGAGAGAGCCGAGGUAAGUUGACCUACCUCGGUCUUACGCGCCUCUGUUUGCGCUUCGAGCUGCACCUUCAGCCGGGACACUUCAUCCCGGUGUUGUUCUUCUAGCCGAGUCUUCUCAUCUGUUUAGCAGACGUGGGCUACAGAAGCUUGAGUUUAAAAGGGAUGAAACCCGGGAUAAGGACAAGAUUAUACCUUGCACUUCAGCGACGCGCUUCAAGAGCCCCGACACUUGAGCAUUGUCCCCGGCUGUGAACGAGAGCACAUAUCAGUUUUCGCGGUACAUUAAUACUCGGACGUAGUUUCUAUGUCGGUGGAAAUGUACUUACCCUGGCUCUGGCGCUCGGCUAACAAAGCCUUGUGCUCCGCCGCCAGCUUCUUGUGUUUCGCCAGCAGGACCUUGAAGGUGGCAGUGCGCUUGUUCAUGCAGGUUUACAAGACAGUAAUCAACAUUUAAUUCUAUUGCAGUGGGAUAUCAACAGUUUUUAAGCUUCAGGCCAACAAUUCUAAACCCGGCCUGAAUCUCGGGGAAUAAGUGUUUGAAGUUUUUAAGCUUCAGACCGACUAUUCUAAACCCGACCUGAAUCUCGGGAAAUAAGUCUUUGAAGUUUUUAAGCUUCACGCCCACUAUUCUAAAUCCGGCCUGAAUCUCGGGGAAUAAGUGUUUGAAGUUUUUAAGCUUCAGGCCGACUAUUCUAAACCCGACAUGAAUCUCGGGGAAUGGUGUUUGAAGUUUUUAAGUGUUGCAGAGUGUUUGAAGUUUUCUAACAUAAGCUUCAGGCCGACUAAUUCUUACUCGCCCUAAACCUUGGAGACUAGGAGUAUAGAUACUAGAGAUAAAGUAAAAAACUUCAAGGGAAUUUUUCGUACCUUGGCAGCUCGGCUGGAUUCAAACAAGGCAACCCUUGCCUGAAACAUCCGGGCUGACACAGAAUCCGGAGUCGCCACAGGUGCGGGCCCCACUAGAGGGCUCUGCCGUGCUGUCUGGAGGGUGCUGGAGGUCACUUCGUAACUAUCGGCGCUAUUCCAGUCCAUCACGAACUGGCCGAGCGACCCCCCGCUAUGCCCGCUGGUCGUCCUGAGGGGAACUCCCUGGUUACCCUGGGCAGACCGUGAGCUGGAGGAACUCAAAGGCGCUUGCCCCGCCGGGAUAGCAGAGCUCCUAGUUCUCCUAGCUUGUGCAGCCGCUAGUUGGGUAGCUUGCGGCUGCGUGGCGGUGAUGGCGGUGUUGAUGUCGUCUGCGGUCCUUGGGGUUCUUGCGGCUCUGUAGCCGGCUGCUGAGGAGUCUCCGUUCCAGCGGCUCCGUUUGUGUCUCGGUUGCCGCCGAUGAAGGAGCGGCCCCGGCUACCGAAGUCCCGGCUUGUGCGACGCUCGAAGCGUCGAUGCUCGGGCCGACAUCCCGGACGGGGGAUAUCAGAUCCGCAGCAGUCUCGGUCUCUCCCGUGGCCUGAGCUGCAGGCUCGGCACGAGGAGAUGGAGCUUCCGGGAUCUCAGACGAAAUGCACGUGUGAGACUGAGUGGCCAUCAGAGCCUCCCUGCAGGAAUGAAAGUUGGUUGUUUUCAUGAUAGUUAAGGAGAAAACCGACAUCAAAGAUUGAGAUGCUGUCAGUCUUACCCAACAGUCAUGGGCUUCGGCUUUGGUCCACGAGAGGCGGUUUUCUUCCGCUUCGUGGUCCUCGGAAGAUCCUUCUCGGCGACGCGUUUUUCACGGGCCGGCGCCGCAGCGGCAGCUGGACCCGACGCCUCAGCAGCGGCGGGAUCGUCUGAGUCGGUUGUUCCCGGAUUAAUGCAGGUGUGAGCAUUUUAAUGAUAAGUGUUCUAAUAACUAUGAGAGGAUGUCGGAAGUCAUUACCUUCGAUGCGACGAGGGCCAGCAUGAGCAAUCGGCAUGUGAUCCUCCGAGUCCGGAUCUUCAUGGUCGAUGGUCAUGCAUUGGCUCCCAAAGCGCUUGUCCGGGGAUUUCCCGUCUUCAUUGCGCUGAAGGGUAAACCUCUGCACAAAGGAAUCAAGUCGUGCUGAAAUAAGUCUUUGUCAAAUGAAAGCCGGCAUAACCAUAUGUCGGAUGAGAACAGAAGAUACAUACAAACAAAAACUCACCAGGGGCGAAUGGUGCUUCCGGCUGUGCGCCGGCAUACCCCAUUCCCAGCGCUCGGGCAAACUCGUCUUCGCGAUUGCCUUAACCCGGCGCCGAACUUCAGCCUUGUCAAGCCAGACGGUUGACACCCGGUUCGGAUCGAACUGACCGUCGUAGAAACACAUCUUGUGUGUCCGGCGUUGGAGCGGGCACAACCGCCGGUACACAAAGGUUGCCAGCAAAUCAUCGGCCGUCAUCCCUUCUGCCUUGAGUUCGAGGAUGCCGGCGUGGAUCUCGUUGAUCUCAGGAAGGGUGUCCUACGGAUCAUACUUCCAGUUCUUCUUCUCCUCCGGAGGGCCGACUACGAAUCUCGGCAGAUUAAUCUUGUCAUUGUCGGAGGAGUUCUUGACAUAGAAGAAGGUCUUGAGCCAUUCUUGCAGGACUCAAGACCUUGGAUCCGAGGGAAGGCCGAGCCUCGGCGGGGUAUCACGUUGGCGGCGGCGCACUGGGUCAUGGGCUUAGCGGUGCCGGGAUUCUCUUUGUCGGGAAGAACUUGCGGUCGGAACAUGAAAUAUUUGGCCCACAAGUCGACGGAAUGCCAGAGGCCGAAAUAGGCUUCGCAACAGGUGACAAGCGCCGAGAGAGUAAGGAUGGCGUUUGUCGGAAGGUGGUGCGGCAGAAGGCCGAAGAAAUCUAAGAAUUUCCUAGUAAAAUCACUAGCCGGCAGAGCGAACCCUCGUUCAAAGUGAGCAAAGAAGACGACAUGCUCACCAGAUUCGGGUGUCGGCACGAUCUCGUUGCCGGGGAUCCGGCACUCCACAUCUUCCGAAAUCCGUCGGGAGCGGCGGAGCCACUCGAUGUCUGCCGGGGUGACGUCGGAGCCUUCCCAGCCAGCUGCUCUGAGCCCGUCUCCUCCUCGGUGUGGUGAGAAGCGGGGUCGGCGGCGGCAACGACGUGGGACGAAGAAGCCAUUGUUGGAAACUAGAUCUAGGUUUAGCUUCUCUGGUGAGAAGACAGUGGCGCAAGGCUCAAGCGGGCAAGGAAGCGGCGGCGGAGAACUAAGUUAUCACGCGCGAAGAUGCGAUGGCGAGCUCGGGUGCUAGGAGCAAGGAGACGCAGUAGCAGAGAAGCUCGGAGGUCACGGCAAUGGAGGAGAGCGCAAGUGCGGAAGAGAGCGAGGGCGUCGAGGAAGGAGGAAGGGUUUCACUCCACCCCCUCCCUUUAUUUAUACCCACAGUGCGCUAAUGGCGCGCGGAUCUUCCGCGCCCACGAUCCCUGUGGCCAACGGAAAGGCCGCGCACGAUCAUGGGGGCAAUCAACCCCAUUAACGCGCACGCGCUCGGUUACCGCGCGGCGUGGCGCAGUAAAUCCCGUCAAAUCCGGGAGGAUAAGGAUCCGCGUGGGAACCGAUAUUCCCCUCUUAAUGGCCUGUCGGCUUUACUAUCCGAUGGGACGACACGCUCACCUCAAAGGGCGCGCCGGCAGUACUUCGGGUCUUAUCUUCUCGUUACUUAAGCAGAGCGCGGAGUACAAGCGACCGGUGGCACCAGUGUCGGCAGAAGCGAGUUUUCUACUGUCGGCCAUGGAGGAGAAAGGAAUCUCGGCUCAGGGCUGAAUAAGCACGCUGACUCGAUAUGUCGGAGUAACUUGAUCUCGGCUAAGAGAACUCGGGGUUGUCUCGGCAUCCUUCUCAACUAGGCCUUGGUGGGCUUCGAUGGUUUGUCUGUGGGAAACUGUCGUGGACCGACAUUCUUCCCUGUCGGACCGCAACAGCUUCAGGGACUAGUGUCGGGGGGAUGACCCCGGGUAGGGUCAGGACAACUGCCGAAGGCAAAACCCGGCACAAGCAUGUACGUUGGCAUCUUUAAACCGAACUAACACUAAGCCGGCAUACCAAGUGUAUUCCGGCAAAUCUAUCAUGUCUUAUGUGAUUGCAGGAUAAGGACGAAUACUCUGAUCUCGACUACCGCCGAGAUGUCUCAACGGUCUUAUCCUUAUCUCAUGGCGCAAAGUAAAGCAGUGUUCUCUUUAUCACAAGAAAGCAGUCGCUGCUUACAUUGCGGUGCCAGGCGACUGUGCAAAGAAGCACCGAAAGAGAAUCAGUGGCGAAAGCCGGCAGGUGGUUGCGGUACUUGUUGCAGGACGCCAGGAAAAGUAAAGUUGUCUUGUCCCUUGCGGUGCCACCCGGAGGGAACCAAGGCGCGUGCCCGACGGGGCCCUUAGAAGAUAACGUUAGCAUUUGGCCCACAUGUCAGUGUGACAUGAGCGGUCCAUAAUAGACCACGACACCUUCCCUAGAGAGGGACACACACACUUAGACAUCUAGGGUUUUCCCCUUCUUCUUCUUCCUCAAGAAAACUGCUCAAGGAGCACCAUUGUAGAUCUCGGUAUCUCGGCUUAUACAACAAAGCAGGAGUAGAAGUCUUACCUCGACAAGAGGGCUCCGAAUCUAGGUAAAUCUGUGUGUGCUCGUGUGUUUGUGCGUGUUUCUUAUCACGUCCUCCCUCCUCCGGAUCCUCCUUCGUCCACCGGCCCCAACAUAAGCCAUCCUAUGGCAUCUGCCGUGACACCACCACGACAGUUUCACCUUGUCUCUUCUUAUGCUGAAUCCAUUUUGUUUAGCAUAGUUGUUGUAGAAACUGUAAGCAGCAUUUUCCGAAUAGAAAAACAUCUCCAUUAUCUGACGGUAUCGACCACGCCGAUCUUCGUCAAGUUCAAUGUUCAUGUUAAAACUGCAGUCUCCCGCUUCUUCGUCCUGAAGAUGGUCUUGCAACUACACAAUGUGAAAUACAUAUAUAAGUCUCGCUAUCAUUAAAUCAUGUAACAGCUGAUCAACGUACCUCACUCGUGCUUCCCGAGUAGGACCCCGUAAUAACCUCCGAUUCUUCAGGGUCUUCUUCAUGCCCCAUGUCAAUGUCCGAAUCCCCAAUGUAUUCAUAUUCAUCGCCGGAGCCCAUCAUGGACUGUAAAAAGAAAUGAAACCAUACGCGUCAUAACUUGGCGUCACGUUCCUUGUAUUUAUCAUCGCUUCAGGUAUGAAUAGGAAAUGAGGUAUACAACUUACAUCGCUCAUGUAGUCCGAAUCAGAAGGAUCGGCCUGCUCAUGAUCAACACCUAAUUCGUGCUCAAGCCUCACGUUUCUGUCGUCGGUUCCUUCGCCAUCAAAUGGCCCGUUCCUAGGACUAGACGACAUGGAUUCAUUAUCCGAACUAGAAUCCCCGCCUGCGUAUCCUCGUCCUCCAUACCUCAGCACUGCACAACCACAUGAACUUGCGAUGUUAUUGAUAAUGAAAAAGGCAGAAUGUAUAGGUGGCUACCGGGGUGGCGGAGCUAAACUAUAGCGCUAGCUAGGCUAACCUACAUGAGGUUGGCGUGGACACCAAUAGCAUGAAAGCACGGCAUUACCUUUGGACGAACGGAGGAGGCAGGAACCACGGCAGGGUUGGUCGAACGAGACCACUCCGUCGAGAUAUGUGUCCGGCCGCCGGAGUUUUCACGGAGAUCUGUGUAAAAGGAUGGCGAGGUGGUGUCGGGUCUCUUCCGCCGGACAGAAUCGCAGAUGGCGGCCGCCGCAUGAUUUUUUUUGAAAACCGCCAGCCGAAAAUGUAUCGCGUGCACGAUUCGUGGUGUUGAUCCGGCCGUUUCUGUUUUUGUUUUCAUUUCCUUUUCUUUUCUUUUUUUCUAUUUACAUUUGCGGGCGGGUUACCUCGACGCCGUAGACGAAUACGUACGCGACUACGGGGUUAUACAGGGCUUGGAUAUGGGCUUACGGCGGGCUAUACCUACAGGGGCCUGACUUAAGUCGUGGAGCCCUGGAAACCCGAUGACUUACGUUGGGGGGUCGCAUCGAAUUACGCCUCUCGUCCAACAUGGUCCGCGAUCAUUCUCCCAUGUCUCCUUUUCUUCAUAUAACCCAAAAAGGUUACGCGUGUCUGCGGUUUUGCGCCAAUGCCAUGUUCUUGAACCCUUGAGAGAUAAAAUUAUCUGCAAGCACUCAAUUCAGAUAUCAAUGUACAGCUGCUCCAAUAGCCUUUCAAUCUUAUACACAUCCACAGCAUACAUAUCCCCAGCCAGCUACUACUUGCCGUUGCCGCCCUUUGCAAUUGCAUAGCCUUAUGGAUAACAGAAAGCCAACGGCUACCACAUAAACAUCAUGAUGACAGGACGUUGUCCUGCCGUAUGGACGGGAUCAGCAGCAGAUCGAAUAUCCUCUCCGUCUUCGCUGGGCCGAUGGAGCCGGAGCCCCUCUUGCGCGCACGGGGACAAGGGCCGCGUCCCCAUCUGGUCCAGUGCAGCAUUUGCACUACACGGCGUGGCCGGGAGGACACGGGAUGAUCAAGAAAGAGGGAAGGGGACACGACACGGCCUUGACAGCCAGAACCACAGACGUGGGGUUUGCGCUUUUCCUGUGCCCUGUAGCGCCCGGAGGAGUUGGCAAUGGCAUGCAUGCAGUUCCCGAUCGGCCACGGCAUACGAACGCGGAUCAGAUCAGAGCUAGCGUAUCCUAUGCCCUCGGGCGAGUGCCGCAGGAGCUAAGCUAGCUUGUUAAGGGCGAUUUGCCGGUGGUAGUCCCUCGUUGAUCAUUGUACUGUAUUCGGUGCCUAAAAUGGUACUCCCUCCUUAGUAAAAUCUAGUACACCGUAAUAUUGGAAAACGCAGAAAGUAUACUGCUCCCUACAAUAAUGGAUGACGUUCCUCUGGUGGGCUGGAAAACUUUUAAACAAAAUGGUCACGGCAAAACACGUACCAAUUAAUACAAGUUUUUUUGGGGUGUGUGUGCUACUCUCUCCGUUCCAUAUUAAGUGACUUUUUAUUACAUGUAUCUAGACGUUUUUUAGACAUAAUUUGGAUCGUUUAAUACGAGACGGAGGGAGUUUUUUUUUUCCGGGAGAAAUGCCCUUUCGUUGUUGCCAACUUGCCGUGGAGAAAAGCUGAAACAGAGUAAUGCACGAAGCCGGACACUUUUGCAGGCUAAGGAUUUGCGUGAUUUUAAUCCAUAGAAACAUUUUAACAACUUUUUAUUUAGACUAAGUAGUGUGUUACGGCCACAUUAUUUUACGGAGUGGUUUGCUAUGCUUCAAUUUUAUGGAUUCCUAGCAAGAAAUUGAUGUCUUGAAGAAAAAAAAUGUUGUGUGUUUCACAGUUUCUCUUUCUUUUCAAAUGCUCUUUUUAAAGGGUCAAAAUGCUUUUUUUAGAACAGAAGUAGUAGUACUCAUGAAGCGUGGUAAAAAAAAUACUAGUUUUUUAGGGAAAGUACUACUCCCUCCAUUUCGAAAAAUUAUACAAAUCCACGUCACUUAUUUUAAGACGGAUGAACUAUUCUUUUUUAGGGAGUACUGGUAUUUUUUUUAGAGGAAAGUACUGGUACUCGUGAAGCUGAAUCUCUCGGUGAGGCUUAAUUAUAGAUGAAAAACAAGCCCACUGAGCACUAGUUCAAAAGCCCACAAAUAAGCCCACUAAUUCUACGUAAUCAAUUGUGGGCCAUAGCCUUCUCCCUAGGCUGCUGGGCUUCUACAGAACCUAAGCUACUGGGCCGAUCCCCAUCUCAUGAUAGUUAAUGGGCCGGUAGUCACCUUCUCAUCCCACAAACUCAACAACCCGAUUCCCGGGAUUUGGAUCACGAUCAUCACAGGUCAAGUCACUCAUCACUCAUGCACUAAAAAAAGGUACAAAGAUUUGCUUGUUUACAAACUACUCCAGCUAGCUGUGAUCACUCCAUACUCCGAAUAUAUUUUUCCCAGGAGUUGCAUCGGUUCUCGUGCUCCUGUGGAAAGAAGCAAAUCUUAAAAGCCAGCCCAAGGGAGAGCUCACUUUUCUCCCCCCUUGCCUAAACAAACCGAUCAACUCGGGGAGUCGCAGAGAAUCGAAUCAAGCUAGCUGCUAUACUACUAAAAACCUCGUGCGAUCCAUACGCACAAGCAAAAGGCAAGCGACGAUACGAUCUCGCUUGCUCCGGAUAAAGUCGACCGCAAACUUCCGGUGCCAGUCAGUCCGGGGCACUGUGCUUUCUGCAAGAUUCUGCCUAAGCCAAUGCCUUUUUCUCCCUUGGUUAUCUUAGGAGCGUGAUUGAUUCUGCCUUGCCCAAUGGCAGUGCAUGCCACCCGGUAUCUCUCUCUCUUCUCCGUCCCCUUUUUGUUAUCAAAUUACUUAUCUUGCAGAAAGCAGGAGGUGUAAUCUUGGCCUCUUGGGGUUCCCGUGUUCCAUGCAAUAAAGCCGAGAUUUCCGAGAGAGGAGAAGUGUUUUGAUUACGGUAACAAGGUAACAGCACUACACUGUUUCAGCUUUUCUGUGCUGUAAACUGGAUCCUGACAAGUGAAAUGGACUGAGAAAAUGUACUCUUCUCUGAACGAACUCCAUAAAUCUGAGUCCCUUACUCGGACGUGGCGCGCCCGUGGGUAAUUUCGAUGUCUCCUUGAGUUAUGUACUCCCUCGGUCCAACAAACUAUAUCUCAACUUUGACCAAAUUUGAAUGCAUCUAUAUAUUACUCAUGUUUACAUACAUCUAAUUUUUGAUAAACUUGAAAUAUUUUUUUGUUGUACGGAGUCCGGAUGGAGUACUCCUUUUCAUCCGUACAAAAUACAAGGCCUAUGACUUUUGUUGAUGGGAACGUUGCGUGCCGUGCAUGGCGUGGCUGCAUCGGCAUGGCAGAGCACAGGAAAAGAAAGAACGACCCAGCCGAGAUAGAUCCGCCUCGUGACAAGAGCAAGGCAAAUAUUGAGCCCAUGUUGACAUAAACAAGGGAAAGAAUUACUGGUAAGCACUUGUAGGAUACUGUAGCUGCGUCGUCGGGAAGCGAAAUCAUGGGGCCAUAAUUGCGUGUGGAACCAGAGAGAAUCCAAUAGGGGCCGGGGUUGCAGCAAUCCUGGUCACACCUUCUUUUAAAGGAGAGGAUCUCCUCUGCUUCGGACUUGUUUUUUUUUAUUAAUAUGCAGUCUGCAUAGAUCUUCUGGAGGGACACCUCUCUGCUGCGUGCAUUAAUGUACACAUCAUCCUCUUCUGAAGACUGAAGAUCUCUGCAUUUUCUGCAUGCAUGCAG
Molecule: long non-coding RNA, 40015 nt
Filed under: Brachypodium distachyon (stiff brome)
Lineage: Eukaryota; Viridiplantae; Streptophyta; Magnoliopsida; Poales; Poaceae
Description: long non-coding RNA (BDIS_LNC003722)
Source: RNAcentral